This 278-nucleotide ribosomal RNA is filed under the name uncultured bacterium. RNAcentral's name for it is "partial 16S ribosomal RNA". It matches the Rfam family "Bacterial small subunit ribosomal RNA", at positions 74 to 354 of the family's 1533-position model. The record is from RNAcentral.
UGCCGUUGCCGGCGACCGGCGCACGGGUGAGUAACACGUAUGCAACCUGCCCGUGGCAGGGGGAUAAGCGGGGGAAACCCCGUCUAAUACCGCGUAACGCGGCCUUGGGGCAUCCCAAGGCCGCCAAAGGGAGCAAUCCCGGCCACGGAUGGGCAUGCGGCGCAUUAGCUAGUCGGCGGGGUAACGGCCCACCGAGGCGACGAUGCGUAGGGGUUCUGAGAGGAAGGCCCCCCACACUGGUACUGAGACACGGACCAGACUCCUACGGGAGGCAGCAG